CUACGGGGUGCAGCAGUGAGGAAUAUUGCACAAUGGGGGGAACCCUGAUGCAGCAACGCCGCGUGGAGGAUGACGCAUUUCGGUGUGUAAACUCCUUUUAUAUGUCAAGAAAAUGACGGUAGCAUAUGAAUAAGCACCGGCUAACUCUGUGCCAGCAGCCGCGGUAAUACGGAGGGUGCAAGCGUUACUCGGAAUCACUGGGCGUAAAGGACGCGUAGGCGGGUUGGAAAGUCAGGUGUGAAAUCCUACAGCUUAACUGUAGAACUGCACUUGAAACUUCUAAUCUAGAGUAUGGGAGGGGGAGAUGAAAUUAGUGGUGUAGGGGUAAAAUCCGUAGAUAUCACUAGGAAUACCUAAAGCGAAGGCGAUCUCCUGGAGCAUUACUGACGCUAAGGCGUGAAAGCGUGGGGAGCAAACAGGAUUAGAUACCCGAGUAGUC
Molecule: ribosomal RNA, 439 nt
Filed under: uncultured bacterium
Lineage: Bacteria
Description: partial 16S ribosomal RNA
Rfam family: Bacterial small subunit ribosomal RNA
Source: RNAcentral